Long non-coding RNA from Oryctolagus cuniculus (rabbit), 1850 nucleotides. The record is from Ensembl. NCBI's taxonomy places the organism in Eukaryota, Metazoa, Chordata, Mammalia, Lagomorpha, Leporidae.
GGAGGCCAGGACGCUGCCUCGGAGAGCACCUGCUCAGGAAAGCUGUCACCACGAUGCGGCCUGCACCACCCGCGCUGCAGGGAGUCGGGAGGGCCAGCCAACGGCCCCUCUCUCGCCCCUUCUCCAGUUCACCACCUCGCUCAGCCUUUGCCGCCAGCUGAGUGCCUGAGCCCUGCCCGUUCCUCUCCGACUCUGCAGGCAGGAGAAUGCCCGGAAAGCCCCGGCCAACGGAAGCAGGCUUUGCUCACGUGCAGCGUGGACCUCCGCGCAGGCCGCCUUGCCUCACUUUCCGCGUGCAGAGGCCGUUGUCCACGGGAGCCGCCAAGUGUGUGUGUGUGACGCGUGAGCGCUGCUGCCCUGGGCCGGGUGCCGGCACAGACGGAGGACGUCCAUGGAAACGCUUGCGUAACUGACACAAGGUCUGUAGCUGGGCGCACCGGGAUACUCAGCAGCGCUGUCCCUCACGCGCCCCCACAGCCAAAGGCAAGGGGCAGGUGCAGCGAGAGAGACAGACAUGCCGGAGGCCCCGCACUCUCAGGCAUCACUGAAAACCCCCGCUAUAAAAAGGAACGAAGUCCUGCCACGUGCGACAAGAGGGCUGAACUAAAAACGAAGUCACAAAGGACCACAUGUUGAUGAUGCCAUUUAUAUCACAUGUUGCAUGACGCCAUUUAUAUCACACGUCCAGAAGCGGCAGCUCCACAGACAGAAGGCGGAUGAGUGGCUGUCAGAGGCUGUGGGUGAAGGGGAACAAAGCGGCCGCUAAUGGGGACAGAAUCUGUUUUCGGGGUGAGACAAACACUCUAAAAUUAGAUCCUGCUGAUGGUCACAGCAGCUCAGCAUAGUUACUAAAGAUCACUAAAUUAAACAUUUGAAACAGGUGCGUUUUAUAUGUAAAAUUAUAUAUAAACAUUACUUUGUGUCUAAUACCUUUACAAGCUGUUAAAAGAACUUUUUAAGAAACACAGAACAAAGAGUGACGAAGGCUGUUCAAGUAGCAGAAGGAGGGCGAUUGGGUCAGGGCACAGCUCAGGAGACGGAAGCCUCGGGAGGGGUUCUCCGUGGAACCGGCAACCAGCUGGCAGAAGGCCAGGACGCAGGCCAGCACCUUCCAGGUCCCCGGUGCCUCCGUCCGGGGAACGGAGAACGCGUGAGAAGAGACAGAGGACGCCAGGAAGACCACAGCAGCACAAGGUGCCGAGCACAGGCCGCCCUCCGCCGGGACACGGGCUGGGGGCUCGGGGGGGGGUCUCGGGGGGCGGUCCCCACACGCAGACCCCAGGAGCGACGGGACAUCUGGUCAAGUGCGUGCCCGGUGGCCCUCGCGCUGCUGUGUUUGCAGGAUUUCUGAGUCAUUCGCGCCCUUUCCAAAAGCCAGGCUGGAAAAUGUGAGCGAGGGAAAAAAAAAAAAGACCCCGAAACAAACAAACACAAAAAAGAGGGCUGGAGCCGGCCCCGGGGCCGACCCGGCGGCCCACGCGUCUCCCAGCCCGCCAGCACCUGCGGCAGCCAGGGCACAACUGGUCCCCAUCCAUCCCGACGGGCUCUGGGCAGGUCCUCACGGAGUCGCAAGCAGUAACUGGUUCUGAUUUGGAAAAACAAACCCCAGCCGGUGACGCGGAGGCAAAGAGGUGCUGACCCCCACAGGGAUCACCAGGCACCCGCGGCGGGGUGGACGACCUCAUCCACAGAGCGAAGUGGGCCAGGGUCGGCUCGCCUCACGGGGGCGUCUUGAGCCUGCACCCAGCGUGCGGGGAGUUCCCGGCCAGGAUCCCCGCGGCGGACCAAGGAGGAAGCAGAGGCCGCUGCCCCCCAGCCCCGGGCCCCACAGGCAGCUGGAGGCCAAGUCU